AGAGUUUGAUCCUGGCUCAGGAUGAACGCUGGCGGCGUGCUUAACACAUGCAAGUCGAACGGGAUCCCUGGCGCUUGCGCCGGGGUGAGAGUGGCGAACGGGUGAGUAAUGCGUGACCAACCUGCCCCAUGCACCGGAAUAGCUCCUGGAAACGGGUGGUAAUGCCGGAUGCUCCAGAUGACCGCAUGGGAUUCUGGGAAAGCUUUUGCGGCAUGGGAUGGGGUCGCGUCCUAUCAGCUUGUUGGUGGGGUGAUGGCCCACCAAGGCUUCGACGGGUAGCCGGCCUGAGAGGGCGACCGGCCACAUUGGGACUGAGAUACGGCCCAGACUCCUACGGGAGGCAGCAGUGGGGAAUAUUGCGCAAUGGGCGAAAGCCUGACGCAGCGACGCCGCGUGCGGGAUGGAGGCCUUCGGGUUGUAAACCGCUUUUAUCGGGGAGCAAGCGAGAGUGAGUGUACCCGUUGAAUAAGCACCGGCUAACUACGUGCCAGCAGCCGCGGU
Molecule: ribosomal RNA, 501 nt
Filed under: Bifidobacterium sp. M24
Lineage: Bacteria; Bacillati; Actinomycetota; Actinomycetes; Bifidobacteriales; Bifidobacteriaceae
Description: bacterial SSU rRNA
Rfam family: Bacterial small subunit ribosomal RNA
Source: RNAcentral